Long non-coding RNA from Solea senegalensis (Senegalese sole), 1283 nucleotides. RefSeq lists it as uncharacterized. Lineage: Eukaryota; Metazoa; Chordata; Actinopteri; Pleuronectiformes; Soleidae. The transcript is spliced from 4 exons. The record is from RefSeq and is a predicted model, not a curated record.
AGUGCAGGCGAGGGAGGAAAAGCAGUAUCAUGUCAACGCGGAGGGACAAGUGAGCUGUUUGUGGCUGCACAGCGGAUCACACUGUUUUACACAAACUUCCAGCCUCAGGGGACGUGCGUGUCCAGUGGGUACAUUUUAUGUAUGAAGCUGAUGUGCCGGAUAAAGUCAGCAAACGUGUGUUUGUGUGUUCGCACCACUUCGCGUCGGACUGCUUUGUGAACCUUGGUCAGUACAAUUCUGGACUGAGCAGAAGAUUGAAGCUGAAAAAGGGGAUCAGUACCAACUCUCCGUGGAGAGAACGCAGUGGAGCAAAGUUCUUCUGUUCCUGUUCAUAAGACUCCCACUUACAUUGUGUAUGAGGACUGCCUACUGGAGCUGUUUCAGGUGUGCCCUGUGUGUAAGCGGAACUGAGACGUGCGGUCAAAAAGGCUAGGCACGUUCCUCUCUGUGGAACAGCAGUGUCUGCAUUGUGAGUUCUCCAGAAAGUGGAACAGCCAGCCACUUGUUGGUAGCACUCCUGCUGGGAACCUGCAGCUGUCCACUGCAGUGUAUACCACUGGUGCGUCUUUCUUCAAGAUUGAGAAGGUUUUCCGGGCAAUGCAGUUGAAGAUGUUUAAAUAUGACUCAUUUAGACGGCAUGCUCGGAUGUACAUAGAGCCAGCGAUUGUGCACAAGUGGAAGACGACACAGACUGCUAUUUUGCAGCAGCUCAGUGAGCAGCAGAAUGUCGUCCUGGGCUGUGACUUGAGGGCAGACUCUCCCGUAAUGAGGUCGGGGGAAGCUACCACAUGGAGAAAGAGGGCCUGAAGAGGAGCCUGGCUCUGUUGGAGGAACGGGGUGUUACUAUGGAGAGUAUUGUGAGAGACCCUCAAAUCCAGAAGUUCCUGAGGGAGUCCAGUAUAACGCAUUACUACGAUGUGUUUCACAUGGAAAAAGGUAUGAUUCCGUGACGUUUCUUUCCAAGUGUAAAUCAUUUGCUUGUCCACACUUGCAUGAUAACUGAUGUGCUCCUGCCUAUUUGUAAUGCAAUUCUGACUGAAUGUGCUAUAAUUUCUGAUGUUUGUGCUAAGUAAAUAGGUUUACUAUGUAAUUUAACUACAGUACUUGCACAUCAAAGACUAACACUGUUUGUGUUAUUAGGACUGUCCAAGAAACUGUUGAAGAUCUCACAGAACAAGGGCUGUGAGAAACUGACGAAAUGGCUUCGCAGUAUAAAAAACCAUAUGUACUGGACGACUGCAUCUUCCACAUCGGUGCCAGAGAGAACGUGGUCGUCCAUUUUG